This 595-nucleotide ribosomal RNA is filed under the name Ernakulamia cochinensis. RNAcentral's name for it is "eukaryotic LSU rRNA". It matches the Rfam family "Eukaryotic large subunit ribosomal RNA", at positions 1 to 599 of the family's 3401-position model. Lineage: Eukaryota; Fungi; Ascomycota; Dothideomycetes; Pleosporales; Tetraplosphaeriaceae. The record is from RNAcentral.
UGACCUCGGAUCAGGUAGGGAUACCCGCUGAACUUAAGCAUAUCAAUAAGCGGAGGAAAAGAAACCAACAGGGAUUGCCUCAGUAACGGCGAGUGAAGCGGCAACAGCUCAAAUUUGAAAUCUGACCCCUUUGGGGCCCGAGUUGUAAUUUGUAGAGGGUGCUUUGGCGUUGGUUCCGGCCUAAGUUCCUUGGAACAGGACGUCACAGAGGGUGAGAAUCCCGUACGUGGCCGGCUUCCUCCGCCGUGUAAAGCCCCUUCGACGAGUCGAGUUGUUUGGGAAUGCAGCUCUAAAUGGGAGGUAAAUUUCUUCUAAAGCUAAAUAUUGGCCAGAGACCGAUAGCGCACAAGUAGAGUGAUCGAAAGAUGAAAAGCACUUUGGAAAGAGAGUCAAAAAGCACGUGAAAUUGUUGAAAGGGAAGCGCUUGCAGCCAGACUUGCCUGUAGUUGCUCAUCCGGGCUCUUGCCCGGUGCACUCUUCUACUGGCAGGCCAGCAUCAGUUUGGGCGGCCGGAUAAAGGCCUUGGGAAUGUAGCUCCCUCCGGGGAGUGUUAUAGCCCGGGGUGUCAUGCGGCCAGCCUGGACUGAGGUCCGCG